This 525-nucleotide ribosomal RNA is filed under the name uncultured haloarchaeon. RNAcentral's name for it is "bacterial SSU rRNA". It matches the Rfam family "Archaeal small subunit ribosomal RNA", at positions 1 to 527 of the family's 1478-position model. Lineage: Archaea; Methanobacteriati; Methanobacteriota; Halobacteria; Halobacteriales; Halobacteriaceae. The record is from RNAcentral.
AUUCCGGUUGAUCCUGCCGGAGGCCAUUGCUAUUGGGAUCCGAUUUAGCCAUGCUAGUUGUACGAGUUCAGACUCGUAGCGAAUAGCUCAGUAACACGUGGCCAAACUACCCUUCGGACCACGAUACCCUCGGGAAACUGAGGUUAAUAGUGGAUCACACACUCAUACUGGAAUGUCGAGUGUGUCAAACGCUCCGGCGCCGAAGGAUGUGGCUGCGGCCGAUUAGGUAGACGGUGGGGUAACGGCCCACCGUGCCAAUAAUCGGUACGGGUCAUGAGAGUGAGAACCCGGAGACGGAAUCCGAGACAAGAUUCCGGGCCCUACGGGGCGCAGCAGGCGCGAAACCUUUACACUGCACGCCAGUGCGAUAAGGGGAUCCCAAGUGCGUAGGCAUAGAGCCUACGCUUUUGUUCACCCUAGGGAGGUGACCGAAUAAGGGCUGGGCAAGACCGGUGCCAGCCGCCGCGGUAAUACCGGCAGCCCGAGUGAUGGCCGAUCUUAUUGGGCCUAAAGCGUCCGUAGCUG